Phrynosoma platyrhinos (Desert horned lizard) is the source of this 73-nucleotide non-coding RNA. Lineage: Eukaryota; Metazoa; Chordata; Lepidosauria; Squamata; Phrynosomatidae. The record is from the annotation of a GenBank genome assembly.
GCUGGUGUGGUGCAGUGGUUUAAGUGUUGGACUAGGAAUCUAGAAGACCAGGGUUCAAAUCCCUGCUCUGCCA